Small nucleolar RNA from Pristis pectinata (smalltooth sawfish), 118 nucleotides. The record is from RefSeq and is a predicted model, not a curated record. Lineage: Eukaryota; Metazoa; Chordata; Chondrichthyes; Rhinopristiformes; Pristidae.
UGCCGAUGAUGAGUUGCCAUGCUAAUACCGAUACACCAGGCUGGCUCUUUGCCAUCAGCUCUGGGUGUAGGUGCGUUGAACACUCCUUCUCGACACGGUGUGUGGAGAGCUGAGGCAG